This 447-nucleotide ribosomal RNA is filed under the name uncultured bacterium. Its description in RNAcentral is "bacterial SSU rRNA". It matches the Rfam family "Bacterial small subunit ribosomal RNA", at positions 355 to 825 of the family's 1533-position model. The record is from RNAcentral.
UGGGGAAUCUUGGACAAUGGGCGUAAGCCUGAUCCAGCCAUGCCGCGUGGAUGAUGAAGGCCUUAGGGUUGUAAAAUCCUUUCGUGGGGGACGAUAAUGACGGUACCCCAAGAAGAAGCUCCGGCUAACUUCGUGCCAGCAGCCGCGGUAAUACGAAGGGGGCUAGCGUUGUUCGGAUUUACUGGGCGUAAAGCGCGUGUAGGCGGGUCGUUAAGUUGGGGGUGAAAUCCCGAGGCUCAACCUCGGAACUGCCUUCAAAACUGGCGACCUGGACCCAAGUAGAGGCAAGUGGAAUUGCGAGUGUAGAGGUGAAAUUCGUAGAUAUUCGCAGGAACACCAGUGGCGAAGGCGACUUGCUGGACUUGUGGUGACGCUGAGGCGCGAAAGCGUGGGGAGCAAACAGGAUUAGAUACCCCCGUAGUCCCUGAGCGGGCUGGCAAGGCGCAU